Molecule: ribosomal RNA, 601 nt
Filed under: uncultured bacterium
Lineage: Bacteria
Description: bacterial SSU rRNA
Rfam family: Bacterial small subunit ribosomal RNA
Source: RNAcentral
CAGUUUUACUGACGCUCAUGCUCGAAAGUGCGGGUAUCGAACAGGAUUAGAUACCCUGGUAGUCCGCACGGUAAACGAUGGAUGCCCGCUGUUUGCCUUUGAGGUAAGCGGCCAAGCGAAAGCAUUAAGCAUCCCACCUGGGGAGUACGCCGGCAACGGUGAAACUCCAAGGAAUUGACGGGGGCCCGCACAAGCGGAGGAACAUGUGGUUUAAUUCGAUGAUACGCGAGGAACCUUACCCGGGCUUGAACUGCACAGGAAUGCGGGAGAGAUCCCAAAGCCCCUCGGGGCCUGUGUGGAGGUGCUGCAUGGUUGUCGUCAGCUCGUGCCGUGAGGUGUCGGCUUAAGUGCCAUAACGAGCGCAACCCUUCUCUUCAGUUGCCAUCACUUCGGGUGGGCACUCUGGAGACACUGCCACCGUAAGGUGUGAGGAAGGUGGGGAUGACGUCAAAUCAGCACGGCCCUUACGUCCGGGGCUACACACGUGUUACAAUGGCGCGUACAGAGGGCCGGCAUACGGUAACGUGUGUCUAAUCCUUAAAACGCGUCUCAGUUCGGACUGGGGUCUGCAACCCGACCCCACGAAGCUGGAUUCGCUAGU